UCCGUAGGCGGGAUAAUAAGUCAGUGGUGAAAGUCUGCAGCUCAACUGUAGAAUUGCCAUUGAUACUGUUGUUCUUGAAUCAUUAUGAAGUGGUUGGAAUGAGUAGUGUAGCGGUGAAAUGCAUAGAUAUUACUCAGAACACCUAUUGCGAAGGCAGAUCACUAAUAAUGUAUUGACGCUGAUGGACGAAAGCGUAGGUAGCGAACA
This 207-nucleotide ribosomal RNA is filed under the name uncultured bacterium. RNAcentral describes it as "partial 16S ribosomal RNA". It matches the Rfam family "Bacterial small subunit ribosomal RNA", at positions 568 to 774 of the family's 1533-position model. The record is from RNAcentral.